RNAcentral lists this ribosomal RNA (500 nucleotides) under uncultured bacterium. Its description in RNAcentral is "partial 16S ribosomal RNA". It matches the Rfam family "Bacterial small subunit ribosomal RNA", at positions 29 to 523 of the family's 1533-position model. The record is from RNAcentral.
AUUGAACGCUGGCGGCAUGCCUUACACAUGCAAGUCGAACGGCAGCACGGGGGCAACCCUGGUGGCGAGUGGCGCACGGGUGAGUAAUGCAUCGGAACGUGUCCUCUUGUGGGGGAUAACCAGUCGAAAGAUUGGCUAAUACCGCAUGAGCUCGAGAGAGGAAAGCGGGGGACCGCAAGGACUCGCGCGAGAGGAGCGGUCGAUGUCCGAUUAGCUAGUUGGCGGGGUAACGGCCCACCAAGGCGACGAUCGGUAGCUGGUCUGAGAGGACGACCAGCCACACUGGGACUGAGACACGGCCCAGACUCCUACGGGAGGCAGCAGUGGGGAAUUUUGGACAAUGGGCGCAAGCCUGAUCCAGCCAUGCCGCGUGUGUGAAGAAGGCCUUCGGGUUGUAAAGCACUUUCGGGCGGAACGAAAUCGCGCGGAUGAACAAUUCGCGUGGAUGACGGUACCGCAAGAAGAAGCACCGGCUAACUACGUGCCAGCCGCCGCGGUAA